Molecule: ribosomal RNA, 495 nt
Filed under: uncultured bacterium
Lineage: Bacteria
Description: partial 16S ribosomal RNA
Rfam family: Bacterial small subunit ribosomal RNA
Source: RNAcentral
GACGAACGCUGGCGGCGUGCCUAAUACAUGCAAGUAGAACGCUGAAGGAGGAGCUUGCUUCUCUGGAUGAGUUGCGAACGGGUGAGUAACGCGUAGGUAACCUGCCUGGUAGCGGGGGAUAACUAUUGGAAACGAUAGCUAAUACCGCAUAAGAGUAGAUGUUGCAUGACAUUUGCUUAAAAGGUGCAAUUGCAUCACUACCAGAUGGACCUGCGUUGUAUUAGCUAGUUGGUGAGGUAACGGCUCACCAAGGCAACGAUACAUAGCCGACCUGAGAGGGUGAUCGGCCACACUGGGACUGAGACACGGCCCAGACUCCUACGGGAGGCAGCAGUAGGGAAUCUUCGGCAAUGGACGGAAGUCUGACCGAGCAACGCCGCGUGAGUGAAGAAGGUUUUCGGAUCGUAAAACUCUGUUGUAAGAGAAGAACGAGUGUGAGAGUGGAAAGUUCACACUGUGACGGUAUCUUACCAGAAAGGGACGGCUAACUACGUG